UGCCAGAAUCAUAUGCUUGUCCCGAAGAAUCAAGCCAUGCAUGCCCAUGAGAAAUGAACGGCCAAACUGUGGUCCUGGAGAGCUACCCGCUCCCGGGCCCGACCUGGUUGUAAGGAUUCAGCGAACGGCUCCGCAUAUCUGUUGUCACCUAUCGUGGUAAAUUGGCGUGGAUAGAGCACGGAAAAGCUGUGUAUAACACAGACAAGAUGGGGCAAACGCAGAGUAGAUGGCCCUUGCUCAGCGGAUAAAUGGGCCGUAAGUACGUCGGCCCUGCCUCUUAAAGAGCUCCUAUAUAGCGUACCGCCAAUAAACCGUGCGGGGAAGCUUUAAUGCGGAGGCCUCUGCCUGGGGAGGUCGCUGUCCAAAUCCCGGAACUUCACAGUAGACACCCAACUAUGUAGAGACUAACCACUAGCGCACGAUGGACUUCAGACCUAUCAGCUAGAUGGUAGGGUAUUGGCCUACCAUGGCCAUGACGGGUACAGAGGAUUAGGGUUUGAUCCUGGAGAGGUAGCCUGAGAAAUCGCUCCCACUUCUAAGGAAGGCAGCAGGCGCGUAACGUUCCCAAUGCUAAGUACAGUGAGGACGUAAUGGGACAUAACAAUGCCUCUUUUAAUAGUGGGCAAUGACAAUGGGCGGGCUAAA
This 645-nucleotide ribosomal RNA is filed under the name Lycogala epidendrum. RNAcentral's name for it is "partial 18S ribosomal RNA". It matches the Rfam family "Eukaryotic small subunit ribosomal RNA", at positions 15 to 529 of the family's 1831-position model. Lineage: Eukaryota; Evosea; Eumycetozoa; Liceales; Enteridiidae. The record is from RNAcentral.